This 253-nucleotide ribosomal RNA is filed under the name uncultured bacterium. RNAcentral's name for it is "partial 16S ribosomal RNA". It matches the Rfam family "Bacterial small subunit ribosomal RNA", at positions 524 to 776 of the family's 1533-position model. The record is from RNAcentral.
UACGGAGGGUGCAAGCGUUACUUGGAAUCACUGGGCGUAAAGAGCGUGUAGGCGGGUUGAUAAGUUCGAAGUGAAAUCCUAUAGCUUAACUAUAGAACUGCUUUGAAAACUGUUAACCUAGAAUAUGGGAGAGGUAGAUGGAAUUUCUGGUGUAGGGGUAAAAUCCGUAGAGAUCAGAAGGAAUACCGAUUGCGAAGGCGAUCUACUGGAACAUUAUUGACGCUGAGACGCGAAAGCGUGGGUAGCAAACGGG